RNAcentral lists this long non-coding RNA (1457 nucleotides) under Apteryx rowi (Okarito brown kiwi). RNAcentral's name for it is "lncRNA (ENSARWG00000006906.1)". Lineage: Eukaryota; Metazoa; Chordata; Aves; Apterygiformes; Apterygidae. The record is from RNAcentral.
GGAGGACCACACUCCUGACCAGCUGGCAGGCUCUAAAGCUUCCAGAUCACCAACCAGCUUAGAACUAUUUCAGUUGGAGACUUAAGAACCAACAGUCCAAACAUCCCCCAAAGCUUCACACGGGCAAAAUACAUAAUUAUAAGCAUAYACACAAAAUGAUACAUACCUUUUUAAAGGGAGUUACCCAAACCAGCAGAGCUAAGGCGAUGACGCUAGGGUUAACUGGAAUACGAUUUCUGGAGCUUAYGCAGGAAAUAAGUAUCUCCCUAAYCCACAGAGACAUUUGGUCUCUUGUUCCACAGGGGUCAGAGUCAGCRAGCUAUCAGUGAAUGCACGCAGUGYGUAWGCGGAUCCAGCGCUACAAGUGGAGCAYUGGCAAUGUAACAGGGGACUAGAAAAUUUGCUAUAAAAAAUAGAGAACAGGACAGAUAUUCCCACCAUUCCUGUGCUGGAUACCACCACUAGUAACACGGAUCACCAGGGGCAGCAGCAGAGCGAGUAGCUCCUGGGUCUAUGCUGGGCUAUGUACUGUUCUGAAGCUUGUCUACCGCAAGUGAGAGGGAAGUUUCCAUGCAAAAGACCACCUAAGCUGGAACAGCUCCUGCUGAAGUCAACAGAAAGCCUCGCGUGUUGACUCCAGAGGGCUUUGCAGGACUUCUGCUCCAUUUGCUGAAGAGUUGAAAAACAGUGGAAAAGAAUAACUGUGCCAGAUGAAUGUCGUAUGAAUUGGAGAAUCCACAUCAGUGAGUAUCCUUCUGGCAUCACCAGCACAACUGUAUCCAGCGGUGAUGAAGAAGGAUGAGAAAUUGAAGAAAUUAAGAAGAUUCAUUACAAACUUGCAAUGCCCAAAUGAGGGCUCAGACCUAAGCCCACUUCCAAAGGCCGGUCCCUCCCCAGCGCCCGGCCSGUGCAGCAGGGCUGUCAGGGACAACACCCAAGCUCUCCAGCAGCUGUGGCCUUUGCACUGACAAAGCUCAGUUGAUGAACUUGUUACCAUCUCAGUUCCAAAAUAUUCAGCUGAAAAGUGGCAGAGCAGAGGCACAUAUUCAUCACGAAAUAUUUGUGUACUAAAUGCAGUAGUGAAAUUAAAGUUUCUAAACUUAACUUGAUGAAAGUAUUACAGUAUUUGCAGCCUCAAAAUAUAAAUGGGGAAUGGCAAAUACUUCUCAGUUCAAUCAUGACAGCAUGAAACAAAUACAAGAGAAAUACUUCUGGACCCUCUGGGUUUCCACUGCUGUGACAAAUGAGAAGGAACCUAUGGCUGACUAUGGGAACCGUAUCAUCAAAGCCAACUGAACAAAGCAGAAAUCGUUGAAUACUCUUAUCAGGAAAGAAUUAAAAAAUGUUACAGUAAAAAUUAGCUACUUUUUUUGCCCACAACUGAACCAUGAACUAUUUAUUUUUUAAUGUAAAUAUUGCAAAAUAAAGACUGAUCUAUGGUCUAUGUGUGUUUCUUA